This 27-nucleotide non-coding RNA is filed under the name Mus musculus (house mouse). The record is from RNAcentral. Lineage: Eukaryota; Metazoa; Chordata; Mammalia; Rodentia; Muridae.
UGUAAAUGUUUUGAGGUUGGUAAAUGC